AAGAAUCUACGUUUGGGUUUGAAGAGGAGAGCCCGAAGCUGAGGCUUUGAUUGAAUGACCGUUGAAGGAGAAGGGAUUUGAAGGCUCUAAAGAAAUCGAGUUUCAUGUCGAAGGCUAUCGUAGCAGAGGAGUUAAUUUUGGAGAAGAAGAAUGGACUCGAGCGUGUGCACAUGGAUUUGGACAAAUGAUCGAAAGUCGGGAACGAAC
Molecule: long non-coding RNA, 207 nt
Organism: Rosa chinensis
Lineage: Eukaryota; Viridiplantae; Streptophyta; Magnoliopsida; Rosales; Rosaceae
Exons: 3
Source: RefSeq, a predicted model, not a curated record